Molecule: ribosomal RNA, 253 nt
Filed under: uncultured bacterium
Lineage: Bacteria
Description: partial 16S ribosomal RNA
Rfam family: Bacterial small subunit ribosomal RNA
Source: RNAcentral
UACGGAGGGUGCGAGCGUUGUCCGGAUUUAUUGGGUUUAAAGGGUGCGUAGGCGGCCUGGUAAGUCGGCGGUGAAAGCCCGGGGCUCAACCCCGGAACUGCCAUCGAUACUGUCAGGCUUGAGUACGGGUGAGGCUGGCGGAAUGGGCGGUGUAGCGGUGAAAUGCAUAGAUAUGCGGAGGAACACCGAUGGCGAAGGCAAUCCCCUGGGCCUGCACUGACGCUCAUGCACGAAAGCGUGGGGAGCAAACAGG